CUCCUACGGGUGGCAGCAGUGGGGAAUAUUGGACAAUGGGCGCAAGCCUGAUCCAGCCAUGCCGCGUGUGUGAAGAAGGCCUUCGGGUUGUAAAGCACUUUUGUUCGGGAAGAAAUCGUGCGGAUUAAUACUUCGUACGGAUGACGGUACCGAAAGAAUAAGCACCGGCUAACUUCGUGCCAGCAGCCGCGGUAAUACGAAGGGUGCAAGCGUUACUCGGAAUCACUGGGCGUAAAGCGUGCGUAGGCGGUUCGUUAAGUCUGCUGUGAAAGCCCUGGGCUCAACCUGGGAACUGCAGUGGAUACUGGCGGGCUAGAGUGUGAUAGAGGAUGGUGGAAUUCCCGGUGUAGCGGUGAAAUGCGUAGAGAUCGGGAGGAACACCAGUGGCGAAGGCGGCCAUCUGGAUCAACACUGACGCUGAGGCACGAAAGCGUGGGGAGCAAACAGGAUUAGAUACCCUGGUAGUCCACGCCCUAAACGAUGCGAACUGGACGUUGGUUGCAACUUGGCAAUCAGUGUCGAAGCUAACGCGUUAA
RNAcentral lists this ribosomal RNA (536 nucleotides) under uncultured bacterium. RNAcentral describes it as "bacterial SSU rRNA". It matches the Rfam family "Bacterial small subunit ribosomal RNA", at positions 336 to 863 of the family's 1533-position model. The record is from RNAcentral.